AACGAACGCUGGCGGCAGGCUUAACACAUGCAAGUCGAACGCACCUUUCGGGGUGAGUGGCAGACGGGUGAGUAACGCGUGGGAAUCUACCCCUCUCUACGGGAUAGCUCCGGGAAACUGGAAUUAAUACCGUAUACGUCCUGAGGGAGAAAGAUUUAUCGGGGAAGGAUGAGCCCGCGUUGGAUUAGCUAGUUGGUGGGGUAAAGGCCUACCAAGGCGACGAUCCAUAGCUGGUCUAAGAGGAUGAUCAGCCACAUUGGGACUGAGACACGGCCCAAACUCCUACGGGAGGCAGCAGUGGGGAAUAUUGGACAAUGGGCGCAAGCCUGAUCCAGCCAUGCCGCGUGAGUGAUGAAGGCCCUAGGGUUGUAAAGCUCUUUCAGUGGGGACGAUAAUGACGGUACCCACAGUAGAAGCCCCGGCUAACUUCGUGCCAGCCGCCGCAGUAA
RNAcentral lists this ribosomal RNA (449 nucleotides) under uncultured bacterium. RNAcentral's name for it is "partial 16S ribosomal RNA". It matches the Rfam family "Bacterial small subunit ribosomal RNA", at positions 29 to 523 of the family's 1533-position model. The record is from RNAcentral.